UGAGCAAUCUGCCCUUCUCAUCGGAAUAAGCGUUGGAAACGACGUCUAAUGCCGAAUACGACCUCCUUUCGCAUGAUCGGAGGUGGAAAGCUCCGGCGGAGAAGGAUGAGUUCGCGGCCUAUCAGCUAGUUGGUGUGGGUAAUGGCCCACCAAGGCGACGACGGGUAGCCGGCCUGAGAGGGUGACCGUCCACACUGGGACUGAGACACGGCCCAGACUCCUACGGGAGGNAGCG
Molecule: ribosomal RNA, 235 nt
Filed under: uncultured bacterium
Lineage: Bacteria
Description: partial 16S ribosomal RNA
Rfam family: Bacterial small subunit ribosomal RNA
Source: RNAcentral